CCUACGGGGGGCAGCAGUGAGGAAUAUUGGUCAAUGGACGAGAGUCUGAACCAGCCAAGUAGCGUGAAGGAUGACUGCCCUAUGGGUUGUAAACUUCUUUUAUAUGGGAAUAAAAUGUUCCACGUGUGGGAUUUUGUAUGUACCAUAUGAAUAGGGAUCGGCUAACUCCGUGCCAGCAGCCGCGGUAAUACGGAGGAUCCGAGCGUUAUCCGGAUUUAUUGGGUUUAAAGGGAGCGUAGGUGGAUUGUUAAGUCAGUUGUGAAAGUUUGCGGCUCAACCGUAAAAUUGCAGUUGAAACUGGCAGUCUUGAGUACAGUAGAGGUGGGCGGAAUUCGUGGUGUAGCGGUGAAAUGCUUAGAUAUCACGAAGAACUCCGAUUGCGAAGGCAGUUCACUGGACUGCAACUGACACUGAGGCUCGAAAGUGUGGGUAUCAAACAGGAUUAGAUACCCUAGUAGUC
This 460-nucleotide ribosomal RNA is filed under the name uncultured bacterium. RNAcentral's name for it is "partial 16S ribosomal RNA". It matches the Rfam family "Bacterial small subunit ribosomal RNA", at positions 338 to 795 of the family's 1533-position model. The record is from RNAcentral.